AUUGGGUUGGCCAAAAAGUUCGUUCGGGUUUUUGUGUAACAUGUUAUGAAAAACCCAAAUGAACUUUCUGGCCAACC
This 77-nucleotide microRNA precursor is filed under the name Tursiops truncatus (common bottlenose dolphin). Its description in RNAcentral is "miRNA (ENSTTRG00000025315.1)". Lineage: Eukaryota; Metazoa; Chordata; Mammalia; Artiodactyla; Delphinidae. The record is from RNAcentral.